UCCAGCUGUAGGCAACUGUCUAGGUUGCCUUGUACCUAGGCAAGUGUUAACACUGUUGGGAGAAAUGCAGCCAGUAGCUGAUAGGCAUU
Small nucleolar RNA from Ochotona princeps (American pika), 89 nucleotides. Its record names the gene SNORA74. It matches the Rfam family "Small nucleolar RNA SNORA74". From Rfam's summary of the family: U19 belongs to the H/ACA class of snoRNAs. snoRNAs bind a number of proteins (including dyskerin, Gar1p and Nop10p in the case of the H/ACA class) to form snoRNP complexes. This class are thought to guide the sites of modification of uridines to pseudouridines by forming direct base pairing interactions with substrate RNAs. Targets may include ribosomal and spliceosomal RNAs but the exact functions of many snoRNAs, including U19, are not confirmed. The record is from Ensembl. Lineage: Eukaryota; Metazoa; Chordata; Mammalia; Lagomorpha; Ochotonidae.